Molecule: ribosomal RNA, 715 nt
Filed under: uncultured bacterium
Lineage: Bacteria
Description: bacterial SSU rRNA
Rfam family: Bacterial small subunit ribosomal RNA (bases 1-613)
Source: RNAcentral
UUGGUGGGGUAGUGGCCUACCAAGGCGACGACGGGUAGCCGGCCUGAGAGGGCGACCGGCCACACUGGGACUGAGACACGGCCCAGACUCCUACGGGAGGCAGCAGUGGGGAAUAUUGCGCAAUGGGCGAAAGCCUGACGCAGCGACGCCGCGUGAGGGAUGACGGCCUUCGGGUUGUAAACCUCUUUCAGCAGGGACGAAGCGCGAGUGACGGUACCUGCAGAAGAAGCACCGGCUAACUACGUGCCAGCAGCCGCGGUAAUACGUAGGGUGCGAGCGUUGUCCGGAAUUAUUGGGCGUAAAGAGCUCGUAGGCGGUUUGUCGCGUCGACUGUGGAAACCUACAGCUUAACUGUGGGCUUGCAGUCGAUACGGGCAGACUUGAGUUCGGUAGGGGAGACUGGAAUUCCUGGUGUAGCGGUGAAAUGCGCAGAUAUCAGGAGGAACACCGGUGGCGAAGGCGGGUCUCUGGGCCGAUACUGACGCUGAGGAGCGAAAGCGUGGGGAGCGAACAGGAUUAGAUACCCUGGUAGUCCACGCCGUAAACGGUGGGAACUAGGUGUGGGGGGCUUCCACGUCCUCCGUGCCGUAGCUAACGCAUUAAGUUCCCCGCCUGGGGAGUACGGGCGGCCUAUCAGCUUGUUGGUGAAGUAAUGGCUUACCAAGGCGAUGACGGGUAGCCGGCCUGAGAGGGUGACCGGCCACACUGGGACUGA